GAUGAACGCUGGCGGCGUGCCUAAUACAUGCAAGUCGAGCGAACAGAUAAGGAGCUUGCUCCUUUGACGUUAGCGGCGGACGGGUGAGUAACACGUGGGUAACCUACCUAUAAGACUGGAAUAACUCCGGGAAACCGGGGCUAAUGCCGGAUAACAUUUAGAACCGCAUGGUUCUAAAGUGAAAGAUGGUUUUGCUAUCACUUAUAGAUGGACCCGCGCCGUAUUAGCUAGUUGGUAAGGUAACGGCUUACCAAGGCAACGAUACGUAGCCGACCUGAGAGGGUGAUCGGCCACACUGGAACUGAGACACGGUCCAGACUCCUACGGGAGGCAGCAGUAGGGAAUCUUCCGCAAUGGGCGAAAGCCUGACGGAGCAACGCCGCGUGAGUGAUGAAGGUCUUCGGAUCGUAAAACUCUGUUAUUAGGGAAGAACAAAUGUGUAGGUAACUGUGCACGUCUUGACGGUACCUAAUCAGAAAGCCACGGCUAACUACGUG
Molecule: ribosomal RNA, 497 nt
Filed under: uncultured bacterium
Lineage: Bacteria
Description: partial 16S ribosomal RNA
Rfam family: Bacterial small subunit ribosomal RNA
Source: RNAcentral